CAGCAUUCUUAAACCCUCUUGGUAGCAUUGCUGAAAACGCUUCCAAGAUAUGAGUGAAUGCGACAGAAAAUUGCAGAUUAAUCCAAAAUGCUAAGUAUUUUCUUCUGACUUGGCAUUAUUUCACAUCUGUGACAAUUU
Vombatus ursinus (common wombat) is the source of this 138-nucleotide small nucleolar RNA. Lineage: Eukaryota; Metazoa; Chordata; Mammalia; Diprotodontia; Vombatidae. The record is from Ensembl.